UCCAAGAAAAGAACCACUAAUAUCGUCAUACAUAACAGCGUUCUAGUUGUGUGAAAUGGCAGAAGUCUUCUGCAUUCUCUAAGUAAAAAAAAAAAAGAAAAGUAUUAAAAACCUGGAUCCUUUAAAAUAUCAACGAAGGUUUCAAUUUCAUCACUUUUUACGUGACAAUAAUAAGAGAGAUUAUUUUUAAUAGACACGUAAUUCAUAGUUAUUAUCCUAUUUAUGUCUCGACUAAUCUAUAAUCUUUUGCAUAUAUUUAAGUCCAAUCGAUCAAUCUUCGACAAACCUUCAAUUAUCCCUCGUUAUAACAAAGAAAUAAACAGAUCCAACAUUUAUGAAAAUGAUCUAAAUUAACUCAAGUGCCAAUAAAAUCAACCAACUAAUUACCAGCUUUUGUCCUUUCAGUUAUCCUGUUUUCUUGGAAUUUUAAAAAAAUAUUUUCUGGAUUUCACAAUUUCUUAAGAAGAACUGGUCGAGUUUAAAGGGAGAAUUACGAGAAAUCUUUAUUGAUUUUCCAGCGAAGAAGAAAGAAAAUAAUCGAGCAGCCAUCUGAUUCAAUUUUAUUAAAAUUCUUCGAACGCGCAACAUGACGCAAACCAGGAAGACGUGUAUACGUAGGUGUAUGAACACCCUUCAUGAACACAUGUUAUAAAUUAUUCCGAGCAGAAGAAGAAACAAAAUAGAAACGAGUUUGGUAUAGAAAACAGAUAAAAGUUUUGUAGAUCCAGCCUUGUUUCUAGGAAUGGAAAGGUGUUACAGACGUUUGACAUGAUCUCUUCUUCUAUUGAAGAUUUUUAAUUAUAAUCAAUCAUCACUUAAAAAUUGUAAUAUAAUUCCAUGUAAAAAGGGUUAAGUAAAGGCGAAGAAAUUAACAGGCUUGAGAAAUUUUUAUCACAUUAAUUGAAACAAAUUGUUCGAAUGGAACAUGGUAGUCCCAUAUGAAUCAUGGGACAUCCCAAAUGUGAAACGUUUCGUUUAAUUGAAGGUUGCUUCAAUUGGUGUUAGCUGAACUCGAAGUUCUAGCUCCUUAAAUACAAAUUAAACAUUCAUCGCACGUUUUCCUCAAAUCAACAGUAUGCAUUGUGACAUCCAAAGCAAAUACCAUUACUAUUACGAAUAAUCAAAUCUUAUCGUUUUAAAAUUAACUUUCGAGAAUAUGGUAUCAACAUUUCGAUCUAUAUACUAUUAUCAAGUAAUAUAUCAGAUUGUUAAAUAAUGUAAACUAAAUUUGUUAAAUAAAAAGAUUACUUUUUCUUGA
This is a long non-coding RNA of Apis mellifera (honey bee), 1258 nucleotides long. RefSeq lists it as uncharacterized. NCBI's taxonomy places the organism in Eukaryota, Metazoa, Arthropoda, Insecta, Hymenoptera, Apidae. The transcript has 4 exons. The record is from RefSeq and is a predicted model, not a curated record.